Molecule: ribosomal RNA, 459 nt
Filed under: uncultured bacterium
Lineage: Bacteria
Description: partial 16S ribosomal RNA
Rfam family: Bacterial small subunit ribosomal RNA
Source: RNAcentral
CCUACGGGUGACAGCAGUGAGGAAUAUUGGUCAAUGGCCGGAAGGCUGAACCAGCCAAGCCGCGUGAGGGACGAAGGUGCCAAGCAUUGUAAACUUCUUUUGUCAGGGGACAAAAGCAUGCUCGAGAGCCUGACCGCGGGUACUUGAAGAAAAAGCAUCGGCUAACUCCGUGCCAGCAGCCGCGGUAAUACGGAGGAUCCGGGCGUUAUCCGGAUUUAUUGGGUUUAAAGGGUGCGUAGGCGGACUGUUAAGUCUGCGGUAAAAGCCUGGGGCUCAACCCGGGAGGGCCGUUGAAACUGGAGGUCUUGAGAUGUCGAGAGGCAUGCGGAAUGCGUGGUGUAGCGGUGAAAUGCUUAGAUAUCGCGAAGAACCCCGAUUGCGAAGGCAGCAUACCGGAGGCGAUCUGACGCUGAGGCACGAAAGCGUGGGUAUCGAACAGGAUUAGAUACCCUAGUAGUC